CUGCCCGUCACCAUUGACCAUUCGCUAAUAUUGUCAUUUUUGUCAUUGUGGAAGUUUAGACAAAUUUUAAUAAAAACAAGAAUACUCUUUAUCACGGACGAAUAUUAAAGCCUUGAGAAAAUGGAUGCUGCCGAUGUUAUUCUAAAAAAUGAUAAGAUUAAACCUAGUGUAGAUUUAGAGGAAGAUCCUCUACUGCUAAGACCUCACACAUCAACUGUGAACAUAAUAAAUGAGUGCCAGAUGUUUAUAAAAGCAGAGGAUGGUGGUGGCGAUACGCACAUGAAUUUAACUGAUAAUAUGCCGCAAGAAAGCACUGAAAACCCAAAUUUGUAACAUCCACACCAGAUCAAAAGAAAGACAGUCCAUCAGACAAUCAGAUUGCCGAUUCAAACCCAGAAUGUGAUAUGGAAGAGAUUCCAGACUUGCCAGUAGAUGAGGGAAUGCCUAGUACAGUCACUGUUUUGGAAGCCCCUGAUGGUGGUAAAGUGUACUUAAUUGGUACAGCACAUUUUAGUCUGCAAUCUCAAGAAGAUGUAUCCAGGGUAAGAAUCUUUUGCUUUAAUGAAAUCACUAUGAGUUCCUUUAGCAAUUGGGUGAUCAAAUAAAUAUCUUAUUAAGAAAUCGGAAAGUCUA
Manduca sexta (tobacco hornworm) is the source of this 633-nucleotide RNA transcript. RefSeq lists it as uncharacterized. NCBI's taxonomy places the organism in Eukaryota, Metazoa, Arthropoda, Insecta, Lepidoptera, Sphingidae. The record is from RefSeq and is a predicted model, not a curated record. The transcript is spliced from 4 exons.